GACGAACGCUGGCGGCGUGCUUAACACAUGCAAGUCGAACGGAAAGGCCCUGCUUUUGUGGGGUGCUCGAGUGGCGAACGGGUGAGUAACACGUGAGUAACCUGCCCUUGACUUUGGGAUAACUUCAGGAAACUGGGGCUAAUACCGGAUAGGAGCUCCUGCUGCAUGGUGGGGGUUGGAAAGUUUCGGCGGUUGGGGAUGGACUCGCGGCUUAUCAGCUUGUUGGUGGGGUAGUGGCUUACCAAGGCUUUGACGGGUAGCCGGCCUGAGAGGGUUACCGGCCACAUUGGGACUGAGAUACGGCCCAGACUCCAACGGGAGGCAGCAGUGGGGAAUAUUGCACAAUGGGCGGAAGCCUGAUGCAGCAACGCCGCGUGCGGGAUGACGGCCUUCGGGUUGUAAACAGCUUUCGACUGUGACGAAGCGUGAGUGACGGUAAUGGGUAAAGAAGCACCGGCUAACUACGUG
This 468-nucleotide ribosomal RNA is filed under the name uncultured bacterium. RNAcentral describes it as "partial 16S ribosomal RNA". It matches the Rfam family "Bacterial small subunit ribosomal RNA", at positions 28 to 507 of the family's 1533-position model. The record is from RNAcentral.